GGAUGUAGGGACAAUCUGGCUGCAACCCCAUUGAUCACCAGGGUUGAUUCGGCUGAUCUGGCUGGCUAGGCAGAUGUCCACUUCCACCUUCUCGACUCCAUGUGUGUCCCUCCCAACACAGCAUUCUUGUUCAAAGAGGACAACCAUCCCUGAUAGAGGAGAACCAACCUUUGGCCAAGGGUAUACAAGUAACUACACUCCCCUGCCAGAACCUCCAAACAUGCUCUCAAGAAAAGGGGGCAGCCAGGCGCUGGUGGCUCACGCCUGUAAUCCUAGCUACUCAGGAGGCUGAGAUCUGAGGAUCGCAGU
Non-coding RNA from Dipodomys ordii (Ord's kangaroo rat), 309 nucleotides. NCBI's taxonomy places the organism in Eukaryota, Metazoa, Chordata, Mammalia, Rodentia, Heteromyidae. The record is from Rfam.